GCAGCGGCAGUCGCCGUGCCUGCACGCCUCCUCCUCCUCAUCCCUCCCUUCCAAGCGAGCGAGCGGACGAGCGAUUCGGGAAGCGCCUCGCGCGUCUCCUCCGCCGCCGCGCCGCCUCGGGCUCGCUUGGUGCAGAUCGGGACCCGACGCCCGCGCCGCCGGGACCGGAUCCCGCCUUGCACCAAGUGAAUCGGAGCCGGCGCAGCGAUAAUAGCCCAGCACCCCGGCCGCGCCGCCGCCGCCGUGCGUACGGUCGCCGCCGCGGCCGCCGCUCUCUCGCGCUAUUGAUUGGUUACCGAGUCGUUUAGCCUGCUUGUUGCCUGCGUUUCUAGGAUGGAUCGUGAUGGUUGUUGGUUUGCUGUGAUUCUGUAGCGCCGUGGAGGUUGAUAGGGGGUGGCGUGCGGAUCUCUGCCUAGGUUUAGCGAUCCGGAUCUGGAUCUGGCGCGUAAUUUUGGUAGUUUGAUCCGAUUGAUUGGAUGAUGCCGUUCGAAUAAGCAGGAUCCAUCCUUUUAGAUUACUCAUCUGUCAUCAAGGCAAAUUUCUGUGAUUUCGGGAGGCUGGGAUUUCGCGUGUGUGGUGUAAAAUUGGUUGGUCAUGUCGUCAAUAUUGUCCUGGAUCACGGGGAUGCCGUGUCUGGAUAGCCUGUCUUGAUUGAACUGUGCAGAGAUUAAUUGAUCCAGUUGUUAUCUGACUGCUAUUACUGCUUGGGAUGUGCUAUGAGCUCUGUAAGGUAUAAAUUAUGGUGCAGCAAGCAUUCAAUUGCUCUCGUAUGCUUUAUUGGGUGCAUUUGCAGUAGUCUGUAGAGUGGUCUUUGUGAUGCACUAAUUCUGAAACUUAUAGCCUGCCAGCAUGUAUCUGCCUUGUUUUUUUAUUUCAAAAUUUGGUUGUGUUGAUUGAUUCUCAUACAUAUCGCUGUCAUUGUUAGUGGUUGUGUGCACGCAAGAUCCAUGGGAGGCUUGUCUGGGAAGCAUAUGCCUGUCACCAAAAUAAUUUGCUUUGCCUGAAUGCUUAUGAGCCUACCCCACUAGACUAAACUUGGCCAACACGGUGUAAUUAGGUGGGAUAUAAAGUUCAAAUGCAAUCAAGACAAACCAUUUCCUCUUUUUUUUUUAACUAGUCCCAGCUGUAAGAGGAAAGGAAGUGUAACGAGUAACGGAAGCCAUUGUUGGGGUUGUAAUGUUAAGCUUUAAUGACUUUGUCUUGUUACUUCGUGGAUAUCGGAUUACAAAGUAAUUAUCUCAUUUAGUUGUUAGGCUGGCUUACCUUUGGUGGAUUUGUUGUAACUUAUUAAAUGGAAUCUGGUUAGAAAUUACAAUUCUGAGACAGUCAAUUGUUCGACUCUAUUGAAAAGUAGACCUAAAGAGUAAAGCCAGGUACACCAAAUAAGCUGAGGGUAGCAAGGCUGGCUUGAAAUGAAUUCCAAAUUCCUAAACUAGGGUUAUUAGCAAAUAGAUGCUUAACAGCUUGACGACAAACUACUUUCAUGGUUUAAUUGUAUUCCAUCAGUUACGUGAUUGAAAAGAUGGCCCUAUAUGUGUCUAACUUGUCUGAUAACGUAACGAAUGCAUGUGUUUGAUGGUACCUUUCCUUUUUAUGCUAAAUUCAGUUGGAAUGUUGCUCUGUUUUUGGUAGUUUAUUCAAGUAUUAUUCAUGGUUUUGUUUGACGUUACUAACUUCAUUCUGGUGGACAUUUCAGAACAUCCCAUUCUUCAAGAAAGUUCCAGUUUUACCCUCGACGAACAGUUGCAAGAAGAUAUGAUGAAAGAGUUUGAUGUUUGAUCUUUUUGGGAUCAUUUGAUGCUUGAUGGUUGUGCAUAUGUAAUUCUGUGUCGAUUUCUAUAUAUGGGAAAUAAAUAUAAGAGUUGAUUUUUCUGGAUGGAUGUUGUGAUCUGCUUUGUUUAAAUGGUAUAUCGAUAAGUAUCAGGAUUUGGUUGAACUGUAGGGCCAUUGAUUGGUCUAGUUGUGUAGGUAGCUUGCUAGAUGGACCUUUUUCUAUAAACUGCAUCGGUAUCAACCAACUUUCCCUGUUACAUACGACUUCCUAUGAGGUGAUGUUUAGUGGAGUCCUUUUUGGAUGAACCCUAGAGCCUAGAAUCAUGGUGAAAUUGUUGCAUGCAUGUGUACUACUUAGCAUUAUGGCAGCUAGGAUUUACAGGGGAAUAACUGUUUCUGGGCAAACCGGAAAUAUGGCUUGUUUCUCUUAUUAGCUGUAAACUCCACCCAAUUUCUACUUUCCAGCCUCCUGAACCAGUCCUGUUUGAUAUGUGAAUUUGUCAAACUUAAUUUGCCCUUUGAUUUAAAUUUACAGGGGCACAAUCCUGUUGGCAGUCUGACUGUUCAGCUAGUGCCUGGGAACUGCUCCUAAUUUCCAGCCCCAAAGUGGUCUGGUUUAGUAUUUGAAAUAUCAUUCUCUUCCCAGAUUUAAAGUUUGAAAUAGACAUUAGAAGCAACUUUUAGGCGUUUUUGGGUAAUGGGAUAGGGGAUUGGGGGUACCAUGAUUCUCACUGGUUUAGCUGAAAAAGCGGUGCUGAGCAGCUAGUUACUGCAGUUUCUUUUAACCUGGCAGCAUCAUGCUUAGGAUUUAAGCUAAGGCUCAUAUGAUUGAGAUUCCAGUUGUCGGAGAUCCGUAUCAUUACAGAAAUAAUUACGUGCUAUUUCUACUGAAACAGAUCCACGUAGUGGAAUCAUUUAAUACCUCUUUUGCCUUUCCAGGACCAGGACGUAUAUUUUUAACUGUUAUGUGUGUUGAAACAUUUUGUCUGUAAACUUAACAAACACAACCCUCAUCAUGAUUUUUGAGCAUGCUACUAUAUACAUUUGUUGCCUUGGUGGUGUUGUAGUGCCCAAGUGGGCAUUGGGUUCUUUUUUUUUCCCCUCUCUUUGAAAAGAGGGAGUCAGUGAUUGGGUGUCCAGGAAUAUAUGCUCGGCGAUCAAGAUUCUUUUUCCGUCAGGAAGAGGAGGGAAGAGACAAAGUAGCCGAUUGGCACUAGGUGGGUCGACUGGUCGUCCAUGGCUGGCAUUUGAAUUUGUUCCAGGAAAAGGGGAUUCCCUCCAUGUUUGAGCUGGAGCUGAUGAGUGAGGCGGAGUAAUUUUUAGUGGUUGGAAUAUUCGGCUAAAGCCACGACAGCCGCCCAGGAGAACAUGUUCUGAAAAGCUGUCGAGGAAUAUAAAUAUCUGAUGAGCCUGACACCCCUGGAUUGACUUGAAUGAGCAGACGCAGAGCAUGGUGGAAUUCCAGCUCUGGGUAGAUCAGAUGGUACAUUGGUACCAUGGUCCAGCUACCAGCUUUGGUGGUGGUAAAAGUUUUCACAGCUUUACCUCAUCUAGUCGUCUUUAUACGUUCUCAUACUAUAUGCUGGUUAAUAUUCUGUUUCAUCCUAUAACAAUUUAUUUAUUUAAGCAUAAUGAAUUUACUUUCUCCAGCACGAGUAGUUAUUUUCAUGUGGCACUGGGGGCAUGCAUGGCACCACUUGAGCAAAUGGGUCAGCACUCAGCAACUCACCACCCACAGUGGUUACAGUUGGAUCAUGAUCCUGCUGGGCGCUGUAGAAAGCCACAGCUCCAGCCAGGCGGGGAAGGAAGGAAUACAUGACAAACUUGACAAGGACGUAGUACUUGAUGGGAAAUCCGUAUGCAGCUGCGAUCAAACAUGGUGGGCUCUGGCGCUCAGUUGAUCGAGCUGGUGUCCUUUGGCCUCCAGCGAUCAUCAAAAGCCUGGGCCGCUGCUCGUGCUCGUGCUCAUCAGGGAUCAGGCCUGGUCCCCUGCCUCCCAUGCAAAAAGCUUUCAACUCAGUCGCCUCCCGUUUCAUUCGAAUCCGUGAAUUCCACGGGAAAUUAUCUUCUCUUUUCAAGAGAUGUUGCUGUUUCCCUGUAAAUUACUGCUGUGCAGAUGCAGCCGUUGCGAGCACCCUCGUCUGUUUCGUUUCGUCCUGCGCAGGUGUCGCCUCUGGCUUUGUUUUUGUAGUUGUCCAAAUUUGAUGCUGCCGAGUUUAAACAUUUGAUGGAAAUUUGGAUUGAGUUCAUGUGU
Molecule: long non-coding RNA, 4027 nt
Organism: Setaria italica (foxtail millet)
Lineage: Eukaryota; Viridiplantae; Streptophyta; Magnoliopsida; Poales; Poaceae
Exons: 2
Source: RefSeq, a predicted model, not a curated record